GAAGCUGACCAGACAGUCGCCGCUUCGUCGUCGUCCUUUCGGGGAGACGGGCGGAGGAGGAAAGUCCGGGCUCCAUAGGGCAGGGUGCGGGUAACGCACGGGGAAACCCACGACCAGUGCAACAGAGAGCAAACCGCCGAUGGCCCACGUAAGUGGGAUCAGGUAAGGGUGAAAGGGUGCGGUAAGAGCGCACCGCGCGGCUGGUAACAGUCCGUGGCACGGUAAACUCCACCCGGAGCAAGGCCAAAUAGGGGUUCAUAAGGUACGGCCCGUACUGAACCCGGGUAGGCUGCUUGAGCCAGUGAGCGAUUGCUGGCCUAGAUGAAUGACUGUCCACGACAGAACCCGGCUUAUCGGUCAGCUUCACUU
RNAcentral lists this RNase P RNA (369 nucleotides) under Salmonella enterica subsp. enterica serovar Worthington. Its description in RNAcentral is "RNase P RNA component class A". It matches the Rfam family "Bacterial RNase P class A". Rfam says of the family: Ribonuclease P (RNase P) is a ubiquitous endoribonuclease, found in archaea, bacteria and eukarya as well as chloroplasts and mitochondria. Its best characterised activity is the generation of mature 5'-ends of tRNAs by cleaving the 5'-leader elements of precursor-tRNAs. Lineage: Bacteria; Pseudomonadati; Pseudomonadota; Gammaproteobacteria; Enterobacterales; Enterobacteriaceae. The record is from RNAcentral.